Non-coding RNA from Heterocephalus glaber (naked mole-rat), 7225 nucleotides. NCBI's taxonomy places the organism in Eukaryota, Metazoa, Chordata, Mammalia, Rodentia, Bathyergidae. The record is from RefSeq and is a predicted model, not a curated record.
UUACUUUAUCUGUAGGCUGUGUUUUGUGGUGAAGCCAGAUAUCCAAGCAAGCAUAGGAUUUCUCCCAGAUGCAGUAUCCAGGGGAGCUGUCAUGGACAAGCCUCUCUUUACAACUGAUCUCGUCUAAGCAUGGCCAGAGGCUAAAACUUUGACUAAAUCUCGAUGGAUAAAAAGUCAUUAACUGAGUGUCUUCAGCGAAGACAGUACUGCUGGCCCAGCGGGCAGAGGUUACCUGUAAAGGCUGGAUCUCAGAAGCUCGGUUUUCUCUUGCCAACUGCAUCAUCUCUUUAAUUUGGUACAGUGCAUAGACGAAGGUCACCCAGGGAGAAGAGCUGACCCCCCAAGCUGAAGCUUCGGAAAGAUGGAGCACCCUAAGAAGAUGAGCUGGGACCAAAGAGUUGAGCUGCAAUACGUGCAUUGCACUGGAGCCAAAGAGAGAGAAAGCCAUUCUUACCGAAGUAGUUGACUAGCAGGCCUCCGAUCAUGGCGCCACAGCCUCGUCCCAGGCCCAGGUGCAGGCCCUGCAGGAUGCCCUGAGCAGACGUCCGCAGCUCGGGGGGCACAGCCGCACUGAGACAAAGUCCACUGUGCAGGAGGCAGGAGGAGCAGUGGCUCCACUCCAGAAAGGAAUUCAGGGACCCGGGUACAGAGACUCUGUGCUCUUCAAUGCCUGUUUAGCCGGAUGUCACUGUCCAGCUGGCAGAAGAGGGAGAAGACGGUGCAUGGGACAUUUUAUGGGCACACAUCAUUUUUGUGUUCAUUUCACUGGCCAGAGGCACUACCUGGUCAGACCUAAAGGAUGCUGGGAAAUGGAGUCCAGCCGUUGGUCCUCGAAGAGGAAGACAGCAGCUGAAGAGCAAGCCGGGCUCCUUGCCAGAGCCGGGGCCACAGACAGCACAGGACUCUCCAAAGCCAGAAGCCCUCACAACAUGCUAGGAACCUAGCAGCGGCAGCACAAGUCUUCAGUGUGCCACACGAAAGAGACUUUAUAGAAGACAUGUUAACAAUUACAUAUUAAAGGCCAACACAUCCAUGCCCACCAAUGCAUGACACUGUAAGACUCACCUUCAUACAUUUAGUCAGCACUCUUUACUGAACCACUGUACUACGCGCCAGUUACCCUGAUAGGCUUUGAGAACAUGACAGCAUACAAGAAAUGUCCCCAGACACCAGAGUUCCGUUGAGAGGGAGAACAGGACAGGAUUCACCUGAGUGAGCAGCAGAGCAAGUCCCUGAGCAGACCCACCUGCCCAGCACAGGGGUUGGCACAGCUCUGUGGCUGAAGAGAAUCCCUGGGACUAAGCCUUGGCAGGAGGAAGGCACUUUGGGUAAAAAGUACCCUGCACAGGGCUGGAGAAAACUUCCAAACCCCACACACGAGUACAAUAGACAGAGGAAGUAAAAUAGCAGACCUUCUAUGAGCUGUAGCCUGCAGGUUUUUAAAAAAAUGAGUUCCUGAAAAAUAAAAUCUACUCUUGAUACGGCAGUGUUUGGGGAUUACGCAUGCUGACACUGCCUUCGGUGUGUUUUCAAAGCGGGUUUUAGAGAUUACCACCCAAAACGAAGUGUGUUUAAUGGCAAGACUUCACACACUUUACACUACAUGCUCAGUGUUGUCCCACAGGAAGGCACAUAUGACAACUGCUUUUGUGUCAAAGCCAGCAAAAAUGUCACUUCCUCAAAGAAAACUUCAAGAACAGUAUGCACUAGAUAGUCACGAUUCCUUCAUGCUCAGAGCCUACUUAUAGCUUCCAUGCAUAAUUGCAGUUUAACCUCUGAGAGUAGACUCUUAAAUUCCAUGCCCUGGUGCUGAUUUAUGUAUGUAUAAUUUGUUUUCCAUUUUUGUUACCGUAUAUCAUCUGACAUCUACUGGAUGCUAUGUGUCACGUCCUGUGCUAACCAGUUUGAAUGGAGUGGUUUAUCUAAUAUCCAUAUCAACUUCCAUUAUUAAUGGCUCUGGAGUGUGAGGCUUAGAGAGGCUAAGUGUCCUCCCUAAAGACCACAGGGCUUGGGAAAGGGAGCUGGAAUUCAAACUCAGUCUAAUUCAAGCCUAGCCACUUUCCAGGUUCCAGAUUAUUGCACAUUUUACAGAAUGAGGUGAGAGAGUAAGUACAUGAUUAAAAUCAUCAGUGUUUUUACAGAUGUGCCAUGGAGGGCAAGCUGUCAUGCUAGGAAGAACUAUGAUAGUGAAGGUUCAACUGUUAAAUUUAGUUCUGAAAUUUCUUUCAGAUAUUUAUAGAUUUUUUUGAGCUGGAACUUCAUGUAUUAGUCAAGAGAUUUAAAAAUUGGAAAAUGCCUGAAACGUGGGACUAUACGAUGAAACAAGCAUUUAUAGUAUAUUCCCCUAUAUGCAUAACUCUUCGGUGAAUUUUAAAAGUAUAAGGUCUUUGUAUUCAAGAAUUUAAACUAAGGAGACAUAACGAGUACUUGUAAAAUAGUAAGAGAGUACCUAAGUGCUAAAAUGUGUACCGCAGUCCAUAGCUUGAGAAGGACUCAGAAAAAGGAGAGCUAAGUGUGGGAUUUGAUUGCCAGAAAAGGAUUCUUGGAUCAGAGGACAUUUCAGAUGACUACCAAAUGGACAAAAUAAUUCCUGUUUUGAAGAAAAUAUUUUAUAGGAAUUCUUAGUAACUAUAAACCAUAGGGUGACAAAGAAUAAGAUUAUUCUAUUACACUUCAAAAGACUUUUGAUUAAAAAUUAAUUUUAACAGUAACACAAAUGACUUAUUUUAAUUGUUGUUUUUUGAGACAGGGUCUUGCUAUGUAGUCCAGGCUGGUCUCAAACUUGUGGUGAUCCUCCUGCCUCAGCCUACCAGUGCUGGGAUUACAGGAGUGUGAGCUACCACUCCUAGAUAUCAUAGGUGACAUUUUAUGUCAUUUUACCAGUUGAAAUUCUAAUGCAUAUCUGUCUGUCUCAGUUAUUCAUGUCACAAAAUGUUUGUAUUUAAAAGGUUAAGUCAGACAAAAUUUCCAAUGUGGAUAAUAACCGAAUGGAACCAUGUUUAGAAGGUCUACUGUCAGAUAGGGGCUGCAUAGUAAUCCUCUUAUAAUUUCCUCAGAGGAAGGAAAAUGUGGUUCUUAGUCAGUGGAGUAGGCAUGCUAUUUUAGGCAAACAGAGGAAAGCUUCAUAAAUGUCAGCCCAGGCCCUCCUACUGGUCACAUUAAAAAGUCAUCUUUCAUCAAAAUCUCAACCCAGCUCCUACUGGGAGCACAUUUCACAGAGAAGGAGCGACCCAGCCAUCAUUUUCACCCCUCAGCCCUGGAGCUGUUCACUCAAAUGAGCUAAAAAGGCUCCUUUAGUUAUAGGAGCCCUUGGGCUCCCUUUACAUCUUGGUAGCAAGAGUAAUCUUGAUCAUAUGCAUCUCUGAGUUUUGCAAGGAUUUACUAUAAGCAAUACUCACAUAGUUAAGGAGCAUAACAAAUUCAAGCCUGAUUUUUAUCAAAUGUUUAUAUUCUUGAUAACCAUGCAUGCUAAAGUGCUUCUUAUACAAAAGAACAGGUGAACAUUCCUAUGAGGUUUGAAAAUGAGAUCUUGAGAAAUAAAUAUAAACUCAUCAUGUCACCACCACCAUCCACCAAUGCGUGUAUGCACUUAGUUCCGCUGUCUCUUUUUAAAAAUAUAUUUUAGGCUCUUCCUGGGCAAGAAAUAUGGCUUGGGCUUCUUGACUAACAUGUUUGCUGUAAAUGGUAGCCGAACUGCUGAAAGGAUCAGACUACAAAAGCACAGGGGCUGCUGAAUGUGAGAAAGGUCACAAGAAACAAGCUCACAACACCAAACAGUACCUAGUGGUCUCAUCUUGGCCCCCAAGACAGAUGCCUCACAGCCCCUUUCCCAUGAGGCUGGCCAGGAGGACAUCUUCCCCCACCCACCUGCUAAGUCCUAUCCACAUGUCCUGAGGAGACAGAACGGUGAGAGGGUGAUCCAGAACUGAAGGAAAACAAGGAAUUCUCCACUGUUAGUUACAGACAACACAAAGGGGGGGGGAGCUGGCUAGUUGGUGACGGCGACCACAGCAAUACUGUCGUAUCCCACCUUCAGCUGCCCAUUAAAUGGUACUGGCUGCAGGAUAAUUGGGGGAUGAGCCAAGGGGUGAAAGCUGAAGAGACUGAAUUCACUAUAUCCUUUCUGGAAGACUCUCAUGUGACAAGGAAGUGCUGGUCGUUCAGUGUCAAAAUUGUUAGGGAUGACGGGUAAUAGUCCACUCCCAGCCUCCCUUCCCAAGACACUGAUAAAACUCAGGCAAGAGGUGAAGUCAGUGAUUGAAGGCGCAUCUACCACGGUAGUGUUCUUAUCCUAAAAUUAAAUCCUUCAGUGUCUUCUUGCAUCCUAAGUAGAGUCUCCUUUAAGCACGGGGACUUUGAAGUCUUUUGGACAAGCCCUGUCAAAAUCAGCAGAAUCAAGGCUGCCAAAACAAACCUUUUUAGUCAGAAAUGUAUUCCUGUGACACAAGAUUUAUUCCACAUGGAUGACCCACUACUUUCUGUGGUAUGGGCACAGAUCCAACAAAGGCAAGCAAUUUUGCUUUUGCUCUACAGCCGAGAUACUCAGCACUUCCUGGUGCCAGGGAAUGAAGCCAUCUCCUCCAGCUUUGGAGACAGCGAGCUCUGGAACCUGCUCACAGAGCCCUCUGUUGGAUCUGCAUUUACAGAUCUUUGUUUUCACUUGCUUCAGAUCAGUAACCAGGUUCCUACUGGCACAGGGGAGAGUACGAGACACGGAAGUAUAAGCCAUAGCAAAAAGCCUGUUUAGAGUCAGAACAUGGCCAGCUCCCAGAUCCUGGGCUCACAGGCCCUGAGGUGCAGAUGGGAACAGGAAAGAUAUGUCCUGAGUUGGCAGCCUGGGUAGGGACCCCAUACAGCCCUACCUACACCACCCCCCACUUAUAUCCCUGAUGCAACUUUUCCACCUUCUGCUUCCACUUAUCUUCCACUUCCCACGUCCACAACCUGACAAGCACCUUCUCUCCGCUGAAAGGCUGAAGGCCACCUCUGAAGGCCACCGGGAGGAUUCCUAGUGGCCCUUUCUACUCCAGCUCAGUGAGAUUUCCUUGGGGAAUUUCUCGGUCAAAUCUUCAUCCUCCACUCCCUGAUUCACAAAGUUAAUUAUCCCCUGCACUGAGCUCCUGCCUGUUUCCCAGCACAUCUUCCUGUGAUUCCAUCUAACACACUGUAUAGUAAUUAUGUGUUUACACAUCUGGCUUCCGGAACAGAUGGUGAGACUUUGGACCUGAGUUAAUUAUUAUUAUUAUUAUUAAUAUUCCCAGCACCAGCAUGUUGUCUAGCUCUUAGCAGCCAUUUAAUACAUCUUUGAUAAACUAACAGGAAAAGAGGUUUUAAGUUCACAAUAACAUUUGAUUUUUCCUGAUAUUUUUCUGUUGUUCCUUUAACCAUUUUAUGAAUGCUAUUUUUCUUGAGUCUCUUAUGCAAACUGUUCUUUUCUGUCUUCUUUUUAUCUUUUACUUUGUCAGUGCUGGGGAUGGAAUCCAGGGCCUCAUACAUACUAGGCAAUCACCCCACCACUGAGCUACCCAGCCCCAAACUGUUCUUUUCUAUAUAACUCAUAUUAAAAGGAGGAAAGGUAUGUGUAUAUAUUAUUCCAAUACACUCUUUACAGUAGGCACAGAAAUCUUGUUAUAGAGUCUAUACACAGUAAUAUGCCAAUUAAAAAAGCAAUUAAGCCAGAUACAGAGAAAAGAGGAACUAGAAGUGGGAAGUCUUAAGAACUGGAUACAUGUACCUUGUUGCACAAUUCUUUUUUUUUUCCAGUACCAGGAAUCAAACUCAGGACACCUUGUGCUUGCCAGGCAGGUGCGGCACUGCUGAGCUAAAUUCCCAGCUGCACAGUUCUUUCUUGUAGUUCACAUUCAGUGUUUUGUUAUUCUGAAAUACCUAAACCUCAUACGUGUGCCUUACCUCAAAACGUCUCCUGAGUGGUCAUCAUUGCAGUCAUUUCCUUUUACCUAUUUGUAAAUAGAUCUCCUUUCACCAGUUACAUCGCACAGAAGUCCUAAGAAAAAGCACCCUCCAAGUGUGUAUAGUUUUGAAUUUUAUAACUAGAAUAUGACUAUAAAUUAUAUCUCCUUUAAGUUAGGGUGCUCUUUCUCAUCACCAUGAUGGAGUCUGAUGAAUGAGGUUGUGCCAUUUUUGUACAUUUUGUAAGGAUGGUAAUUGUGAAUCUUUCAUCUGAAAAGACUGAAAGGGCUGAGUUGCAUUUGCAUCCACAGGGUCAGGAAAAAUGAUAAUGGCAAUCUUUACUAAACAAGUUAUACAAAAUCACUGUAUAAUUAUAAUUAAUGAUUGUAUAAUUAAUGAUACAGGAAGCUACGCUGUCACAGUAGAUUCAACUCCAGUGAUCCUGUCCUUGUCCUAAGCCUUUUUUCCCCUUUUGUGGUACUGGGGAUUGAACUAUGGGAGUAUUGAGCUACAUCCUCAGCUCUUUUUAUUGCUUUUUUUGAAAUUCUGAGGCAGGGUCUCAUUAAGUUGCCAAAGCUGGCCAUGAACUUGUGAUCUUCCUGCCUCAACAUGGGAUUACAGGUGUGCACCAUCACGGCUGACUUCUAAGCCUUUAUUUUAAUCAUAAUGUCAAUCACUAGAUAGGUUAGUUGAGCUGCUAACAGGGGUUUUGGGGAUCUAGUCAGGAUUAUAUGGGCUAAUAUGGCAAUGAGCUUUGAAUAUAAAUCCAUGUUUUCAAUGCUUUUAACACGUUCACGACAAGGCUGUAAUUUGUAUGCCUUGCUGCUGGACAGCUCUGAACCACCAAUGGUACAGGCAUGACUGUCCCAGCUGGUGAUAUGGGACAGUCCCAUGUGGUGGUACAAGCCACCCGAUGGUGCAGUCAUGCCUGUACCACCAGUAGUUCAAGCCAGGCGGAACAUGUUAAGCCACAGAGCAAGAGCCUCCUAGAAAAUUUUUAAGAAUUAUACUUUGAUGGAAAAUGAUGCCCUAAGAAGGAAAAGAACUUGGGUCAGGAUACCUGAGCUGAGAUUUAGAAGAUUCAUGGAAAACAGUCAUAUGAUUGUAAAGCUCUAGCUACAGGCCACCAGCUGGAAUAAAAGUAUCUGGAGAUAAAACAAUUAUGACAAAAAUAUUUUUCCAAUAACUGUAGUUAACCUAAAAAACCAAAAGAAUCUAAAGCGUUGAAACAUAAAAUCCUUUUUUAAAGCCACCUUUGGAUGCCUAUGCUUAUGAGUGUCACUGGAGUUUAUCUUGAGUUCCCUCUUUGUUUAAU